CCCUUUUGAUACAGUUGAAAAUAAGGUGUCUUUUAAACUUGAAGCCUAAGCACGAGAUUUGUAAGUGUUUUCAGAACGUCAGGAAGAGUCACAAAUGAUGACACGAAUUCCUUCUUAACGAACUACAGAGCGCAAAUUAUAGUUAUGAGAUGCUGUAAAUAUGCUUCAAAGGUAAUCCACUGAGGCGCAAGCCCCGGAGAUUCGGCCCAAGCCUUUUGAAAGAGUCUUCGGUACAUUUGGUUUUGCUUCGAACGGAAAUGACGGCGUAUCAACGCCUAGUCGAUUACCAUUACAACUACAAGAAACAGUUGUUUAAUCUUGGCCAUAAAACGAAGCUAACAACAGAAUUAAUGGCUGGGCUGGUCGGGAAUUUUUUGGUCAAGCACGUCUCAACAGUCGUUAAACGAAGCGUUGCCUUGCUCGAGUGUAAACAAGUUAACGAGCAAUGAAUGAUAAGGACGCACAAAGCUUUCUACGGUUGUACGUCAAGCCAAAAAAUACUGAAAACCCGAGGGGGAAAAGUUGUGAACCUUGAAAGUCCUUAAGAAAAUAAGUAAGUCUUAGGAUUAUCACAUAAUGUUUAUCUAAUCCGGGGAAAAGGAAAUGGAUAUAAUUGACUGUUGUUUACAGAGUCAAAUACAGACCAUUCCUGUGUAGUAUUCCGUCGAUCAUUAGAUUGUCAUGGUCAGAUCAGUAUAAUAUUGUAGUUGUGGCAUUAAUCUUUAGAACAAGAGUAUUAUAUUAACGACCUAAAUCGAACUGAGUAGAUAUAAGUUUGAAGUGGAUGAUGAGUAAGACUCUUAAAGAUGAUUGGAAUAAAUAGCAUAAAGAUACUAUAAUGGCGCCACGGAAACACACAGAUCUUGCGCGAAAACGAGCAAAGGCUGACUAACCCCUGGCGGUUGCAUACUGUCAUCUUCGUCCUCAUGAACGCAAGUUAAUCGUCUGCUCUCUUGGUUACACAUUAUGCAAUUAGAUGAUGGAUUCCUCUGAGGGGGACAACGUCUGCUACCCUAAGGCUAUUAACGGAUUUAUAGAUAGCUCGGUCAGCUAAAUCCUGCUAAGCCAGUUGCGCACUUUCCUUGCUUCCAGCUAUAGGUAAUGCUAAAAGAAUGCCGGUUGGCUAUCACGGUGUUCGACUAAAUAGGCAAGAGUGUCACAACAAGUGAAAACGUCACUGAGAGUCUGUUAGUUUUCUUUUAGCUCUGAUCCUUAUUUGGCUGUAAUCAAAUAGUUCAGACUAAGAGCUGUCUGUCAAGUAGACUUUUGAUAAAAAACAAUAUGUACAAUCCAGUCUUUCAAGACAACGAAAUAUUGAAGGUUGGACAAGAGAUUUCCUCUCUUAUUAUCAAUCCAAGAUCUUAUCGGCUUUCCACAAAAUCAAGACAUAUUUCAAAGUAAGGAAAAUAAAUAAAUACCCUGCGCAUAAUCAAACAUCAAGGUGACUGGGUUCAGAGAGGAGUUAAAAGACAUUUCCCGAACACAAUGCCCUUAAUCAUGAAUGACGAUGUUUUCUUUUAAAAUAAUGAAAAGUGUCCUUCUACGCGUCUUACAGAGAUCACUUCAAAGAUGGCCAGUUAACAUUUCUGAUUGGUCACCAAGGUUAAGAGAAAACUUGUGGAGAUUGAUAACUUUUAGUUGAAUUUGAGAUGAAGAAGAAACUUGAGUUUUCAAGCGCUGACAUUACAAUCGCUCGUGGAGAUAACCGUCUAGGGACACAUGGCGCAGAACAUAAUUGACAUUUUUUUAUUUAAGAGAGCAUCAUUGAACUUAGAUAACGAUUUGUUUACUUUUUCUUAGAGCCUUGGAGUUAUAAGUAAAAGUAUUUCCUAUUAAGAAAAUGUUUUAUAUAUUUAUAUAUCUCGUGUAGUGCACGCAGGGUGUGUCAGUUGGGGGGUAUAAGUACGCAAACCUGUGAUCAUGUUGAUGUCAAUCAUAUCGAGAAAGAUGGAAAAGAAUUUCCAAACAUCAUGAAAAAGGUUUAUCUCCAUAAGGUUAGGGUCCAAAGACGUGACACUAGUAAUUCAUGGCCUGAAUCCUUGUCAAUUGGAGUGGAGCUGUUCGAAGUGGAAUUAGCUAGUUUUGAGAAGACGCUAAUGUGCUCAAGACCACGAGUCACGUCGAUGUUGGAGGCACGAAUUCGUGUUCCUGUCGGCACCUGCCUUAAGGUAGGCGUCGGCUACCGCACCUUCCUGCAAACCCGAGGCGGUGGAAACAAACCAGACCAGUAACAAUGUCCUGGAGCGGCAAAUUAAAAGACACCUACGUAGAGACACGCAAAGUGAAGACGUCCCAAGAAGGAUGUCAUACCAGUAGCAAUGUCCUAGGGCGGCAAACCAAAAGAAACCUACGAAGAGACUGGCAAAAACUGACGUCCCAAGAAGGAUGUCAGGCAAGUAGCAAUGUCCUAGGGCGGCAAAACCAAAAGACAUGCACAGACGUUCCACAAUGAGGAUGUCAUACUAGUAAGAAUGCAGUUUAAGCCGGCAAACCAAAAUACAUGCACCUACCAAAGCACACGCAAAUGAAGACGGUCCAACAAGGAUGUCGUACCAGUAAUAAUGUCUAAGGCGGCAAAAAAAA
This 2583-nucleotide long non-coding RNA is filed under the name Actinia tenebrosa (Australian red waratah sea anemone). Its description in RNAcentral is "uncharacterized LOC116306340". Lineage: Eukaryota; Metazoa; Cnidaria; Anthozoa; Actiniaria; Actiniidae. The record is from RNAcentral.